AACAACAUGAAGUUGGGGGCUUUCCUUCUCCUCGUGGCGCUCAUUGCCCUCAGCUUUGAGGUGCAGAAACUGCAGGCUUCUGUGAGACCCUUGCAAUUGCUGGGUGCCUGUGUGGAGCUCUGCAGAGGUGACUGGGACUGUGAUUCCGGUGAGCACUGUGUCAGCAAUGGGUGUGGCCACAUCUGUUCUACAUCCUGAGGGUAGAUGAAGACUUUUCUUCAAGACCAAUCCCUCCCUCAAAACUAAGGCUGCCUUCUUGGAGUUCCGAUAUACAGAGAUGUGAAUAUUUGAGAAACUUGCCCAGACAGACAGAUGAAAAUGGCAGAGGACUCUGGCUGGAAAUUGCAAAUGAUGGGAAGGGAAAAAG
Long non-coding RNA from Sorex fumeus (smoky shrew), 367 nucleotides. RefSeq lists it as uncharacterized. The record is from RefSeq and is a predicted model, not a curated record. The transcript is spliced from 3 exons. Lineage: Eukaryota; Metazoa; Chordata; Mammalia; Eulipotyphla; Soricidae.